GCCUGAUAGUGUUAUAAAAUUAUUCUCACAGCAAAACUAUAAAGAACUAUCUUAUAAGAUGGCCAUUUAUUAGUGGUAAAAUGAAUAGCAUUAUCUAGUUUCUGACACAGGUGGCGCAAACAUUUGAUAUUUUGUAUUUUCACAGGAAAAUACUUAUUUCUGGAUUACAACUGAGUUUGGAGAGACAUUUGAAAACAGGCUUUCACCCAUGUCUUGGUGUGUUAUUUUGAUUUAAAAAAAAUAGACCCUCAGGUAAAAUUCAAAUAUAUUUCCAAGAAAAAGUUGUAUUUUCUAGCAAAUUCAAACAAUUGCUCAGAAGUACACUCAUCAGUAUUAGCAAUUGUUGGUAAUAAUGGUGAUUAAAUAGUUACAUUAACAAUGAGCACAAUUAUUUCCCUUUAAAAUUUACUUUGCAAUCAAGCAAGCAUACUCUCUACCUGAUAUUAAACUAUGCACUGGUGGGUGAACACUUUUUUAUUUGAUA
RNAcentral lists this long non-coding RNA (484 nucleotides) under Marmota monax (woodchuck). Lineage: Eukaryota; Metazoa; Chordata; Mammalia; Rodentia; Sciuridae. The record is from RNAcentral.